RNAcentral lists this ribosomal RNA (1343 nucleotides) under uncultured bacterium. RNAcentral's name for it is "16S ribosomal RNA". It matches the Rfam family "Bacterial small subunit ribosomal RNA", at positions 28 to 1378 of the family's 1533-position model. The record is from RNAcentral.
GACGAACGCUGGCGGCGUGCUUAACACAUGCAAGUCGAACGGAAAGGCCCUGCUUUUGUGGGGUGCUCGAGUGGCGAACGGGUGAGUAACACGUGAGUAGCCUGCCCUUGACUUUGGGAUAACUUCAGGAAACUGGGGCUAAUACCGGAUAGGAGCUCCUGCUGCAUGGUGGGGGUUGGAAAGUUUCGGCGGUUGGGGAUGGACUCGCGGCUUAUCAGCUUGUUGGUGGGGUAGUGGCUUACCAAGGCUUUGACGGGUAGCCGGCCUGAGAGGGUGACCGGCCACAUUGGGACUGAGAUACGGCCCAGACUCCUACGGGAGGCAGCAGUGGGGAAUAUUGCACAAUGGGCGGAAGCCUGAUGCAGCAACGCCGCGUGCGGGAUGACGGCCUUCGGGUUGUAAACCGCUUUCGCCUGUGACGAAGCGUGAGUGACGGUAAUGGGUAAAGAAGCACCGGCUAACUACGUGCCAGCAGCCGCGGUGAUACGUAGGGUGCGAGCGUUGUCCGGAUUUAUUGGGCGUAAAGGGCUCGUAGGUGGUUGAUCGCGUCGGAAGUGUAAUCUUGGGGCUUAACCCUGAGCGUGCUUUCGAUACGGGUUGACUUGAGGAAGGUAGGGGAGAAUGGAAUUCCUGGUGGAGCGGUGGAAUGCGCAGAUAUCAGGAGGAACACCAGUGGCGAAGGCGGUUCUCUGGGCCUUUCCUGACGCUGAGGAGCGAAAGCGUGGGGAGCGAACAGGCUUAGAUACCCUGGUAGUCCACGCUGUAAACGGUGGGUACUAGGUGUGGGGUCCAUUCCACGGGUUCCGUGCCGUAGCUAACGCUUUAAGUACCCCGCCUGGGGAGUACGGCCGCAAGGCUAAAACUCAAAGGAAUUGACGGGGCCCCGCACAAGCGGCGGAGCAUGCGGAUUAAUUCGAUGCAACGCGUAGAACCUUACCUGGGUUUGACAUGGAUCGGGAGCGCUCAGAGAUGGGUGUGCCUCUUUUGGGGUCGGUUCACAGGUGGUGCAUGGCUGUCGUCAGCUCGUGUCGUGAGAUGUUGGGUUAAGUCCCGCAACGAGCGCAACCCUUGUUCACUGUUGCCAGCACGUUAUGGUGGGGACUCAGUGGAGACCGCCGGGGUCAACUCGGAGGAAGGUGGGGAUGACGUCAAGUCAUCAUGCCCCUUAUGUCCAGGGCUUCACGCAUGCUACAAUGGCUGGUACAGAGAGUGGCGAGCCUGUGAGGGUGAGCGAAUCUCGGAAAGCCGGUCUCAGUUCGGAUUGGGGUCUGCAACUCGACCUCAUGAAGUCGGAGUCGCUAGUAAUCGCAGAUCAGCAACGCUGCGGUGAAUACGUUCCCGGG